UUAGAGGGUAGGUCUAUGGUAUGUGUUAGAGGGAUUCAGUAGGUCUAUGGUAUGUGUUAGAGGGUAGGUCUAUGGUAUGUGUUAGAGGGAUUCAGUAGGCCUAUGGUAUGUGUUAGAGGGAUUCAGUAGGUCUAUGGUAUGUGUUAGAGGGAUUCAGUAGGCCUAUGGUAUGUGUUAGAGGGUAGGUCUAUGGUAUGUGUUAGAGGGAUUCAGUAGGUCUAUGGUAUGUGUUAGAGGGUAGGUCUAUGGUAUGUGUUAGAGGGAUUCAGUAGGUCUAUGGUAUGUGUUAGAGGGAUUCAGUAGGCCUAUGGUAUGUGUUAGAGGGAUUCAGUAGGUCUAUGGUAUGUGUUAGAGGGAUUCAGUAGGUCUAUGGUAUGUGUUAGAGGGAUUCAGUAGGCCUAUGGUAUGUGUUAGAGGGAUUCAGUAGGU
This is a long non-coding RNA of Salvelinus fontinalis (brook trout), 429 nucleotides long. RefSeq lists it as uncharacterized. The transcript has 6 exons. The record is from RefSeq and is a predicted model, not a curated record. Lineage: Eukaryota; Metazoa; Chordata; Actinopteri; Salmoniformes; Salmonidae.